Vigna umbellata (rice bean) is the source of this 836-nucleotide non-coding RNA. The record is from RefSeq and is a predicted model, not a curated record. NCBI's taxonomy places the organism in Eukaryota, Viridiplantae, Streptophyta, Magnoliopsida, Fabales, Fabaceae.
UACGUCACAUGCUUUAUUUUUGCUGUUUCUUUAGUAGUAUCCUGUUGUAUAUGAUCUAUGUUAAUUGAUUGUGGUGUUCGGCCAAAUUUUAGAUUUCUAGACAGACUAGUCAAUUCAUUAGAGGAAAAGAAACAUCAUGAAGUCAAGUUGAGAGAAGGGUUGAAGGACUUGGCUGCUAAACGGAUGGAACUGCAAAAUUCUCUAUCUUCUUCAUGGUCCAAGCAAGAUGCGGCUGUGGCAAAAACAAAGGAGUUGAAAAAACUAUGUGAGAGUACACUUUCAUCGAUGUUUGAUGGAAGACCAGUUAAUAUAAUUGGAGAGAUCAACGCCAUUUUGACUAGUGGCGUUGGAGCAUGAGGAAGAGGAAUUUACUUUCAUGAUGAUCAAGCUUAUAGGUGGACAGUGGCGGGCCAAAAUAACUUUAGAAAAAUUUCUUUUAGUUUUUUUUUUUUCUUUUUCUGCAGUUGUGCCAUAUUGAUUUUACAAGCAGAAGAUACCAGUGAAGGCAGCUUUUGUGGUUAAUUACUAGCAUUACUUUUGAAUUCAAGUAUGGAUAUGACCGAGUUGUUAGUAAUGUAGGUGACCACUAAAAGUUUGCAUAAUGUUGCGAAAUAUCUGAUUCACUACUAUCAAAUAUCAAAAUCAUUAGUGAAUAAUAUUGCGAAAUAUCAGUUCAUGUCGAGACAUGUCAUUGAAGACAAGGACUAUUUUGACUGCGAGGAAUAUGCGGAAACUGAAGAAGUUAAAGCAACUAGCACAAGUCAACAGACUAAAGGGUAUAUGCUGCGUGACGCCACUUUGUUACUUGAUUUAUGCAAUUAUAUUCAAUUUGUCCA